GAUGAACGCUGGCGGCGUGCCUAAUACAUGCAAGUCGAGCGAACAGACGAGGAGCUUGCUCCUCUGACGUUAGCGGCGGACGGGUGAGUAACACGUGGAUAACCUACCUAUAAGACUGGGAUAACUUCGGGAAACCGGAGCUAAUACCGGAUAAUAUAUUGAACCGCAUGGUUCAAUAGUGAAAGACGGUUUUGCUGUCACUUAUAGAUGGAUCCGCGCCGCAUUAGCUAGUUGGUAAGGUAACGGCUUACCAAGGCAACGAUGCGUAGCCGACCUGAGAGGGUGAUCGGCAACACUGGAACUGAGACACGGUCCAGACUCCUACGGGAGGCAGCAGUAGGGAAUCUUCCGCAAUGGGCGAAAGCCUGACGGAGCAACGCCGCGUGAGUGAUGAAGGUCUUCGGAUCGUAAAACUCUGUUAUUAGGGAAGAACAAAUGUGUAAGUAACUAUGCACGUCUUGACGGUACCCAAUCAGAAAGCCACGGCUAACUACGUG
RNAcentral lists this ribosomal RNA (497 nucleotides) under uncultured bacterium. RNAcentral's name for it is "partial 16S ribosomal RNA". It matches the Rfam family "Bacterial small subunit ribosomal RNA", at positions 28 to 507 of the family's 1533-position model. The record is from RNAcentral.